AGGUGUACCGGUAAGGAGCGCUGGAGCGAAUGCAAGUGAGCAUGCAGGCAUGAGUAGCGAUAAUUGGGGUGAGAAUCCCCAACGCCGUAAACCCAAGGUUUCCUACGCGAUGCUCGUCAUCGUAGGGUUAGUCGGGUCCUAAGCAAAGUCCGAAAGGGGUAUGCGAUGGAAAAUCGGUUAAUAUUCCGAUACCGAUAUCAGUGUGCGACGGAAGGACGCUUAAAGUUAGUGGAGCUAGCGGAUGGAAGUGCUAGUCUAAGGAAGUAGGUUGAGUUAUAGGCAAAUCCGUAACUCUUUAUCCGAGAUCUGAAAGGCUUCUGACGCUCUUCGGAGUAGAUGAAGAAUCCAUGAUACUAUCGAGCCGAGAAAAGUUUCUAAGUUUAGCUGAUAUCGCCCGUACCGUAAACCGACACAGGUGGGUGGGAUGAGUAUUCUAAGGCGCGUGGAAGAACUCUCUUUAAGGAACUCUGCAAAAUAGCACCGUAUCUUCGGUAUAAGGUGUGCCUAGCUUCGUUAAGAAUUUACUUCGUAAGCGAAGAAGGUUACAACAAAGAGUCCCUCCCGACUGUUUACCAAAAACACAGCACUCUGCUAACUCGUAAGAGGAUGUAUAGGGUGUGACGCCUGCCCGGUGCUCGAAGGUUAAUUGAUGACGUUAGCUCUGCGAAGCGUUUGAUCGAAGCCCGAGUAAACGGCGGCCGUAACUAUAACGGUCCUAAGGUAGCGAAAUUCCUUGUCGGUUAAAUACCGACCUGCAUGAAUGGCGUAACGAGAUGGGAGCUGUCUCAAAGAGGGAUCCAGUGAAAUUGUAGUGGAGGUGAAAAUUCCUCCUACCCGCGGCAAGACGGAAAGACCCCGUGGACCUUUACUAUAGCUUGACACUGCUACUUGGAUAAAGAUGCGCAGGAUAGGUGGGAGGCUUUGAGUCGUAGAUCUUGGUUUACGAUGAGCCAUUGUUGAGAUACCACUCUUCUUUAUUCGGGUAGCUAACUAGCCUAAGUUAUCCUUAGGUAGGACAAUGUCUGGUGGGUAGUUUGACUGGGGCGGUCGCCUCCCAAAAUGUAACGGAGGCUUACAAAGGUUGGCUCAAAGCGGUUGGAAAUCGCUUGUAGAGUAUAAAGGCAAAAGCCAGCUUAACUGCGAGACAUACACGUCGAGCAGAGACGAAAGUCGGUCUUAGUGAUCCGGUGGUUCUGAGUGGAAGGGCCAUCGCUCAAAGGAUAAAAGGUACCCCGGGGAUAACAGGCUGAUCUCCCCCAAGAGCUCACAUCGACGGGGAGGUUUGGCACCUCGAUGUCGGCUCAUCGCAUCCUGGGGCUGUAGUCGGUCCCAAGGGUUGGGCUGUUCGCCCAUUAAAGCGGUACGCGAGCUGGGUUCAGAACGUCGUGAGACAGUUCGGUCCCUAUCUGCCGUGGGCGUAAGAAGAUUGAGGAGAGUUGACCCUAGUACGAGAGGACCGGGUUGAACCGACCACUGGUGUACCGGUUGUUCUGCCAAGAGCACCGCCGGGUAGCUAAGUCGGGAUGUGAUAAGAGCUGAAAGCAUCUAAGCUCGAAGCCGACUCCAAGAUGAAUCUUCUUUUAAGAGCUCUAGUAGACUACUAGUUUGAUAGGCCGGAUGUGUAAUGGAUGAAAGUCCUUUAGCUGACCGGUACUAAUAGCUCGUUUGCUUAUCUU
RNAcentral lists this ribosomal RNA (1676 nucleotides) under human oral metagenome. RNAcentral's name for it is "bacterial LSU rRNA". It matches the Rfam family "Bacterial large subunit ribosomal RNA", at positions 1254 to 2925 of the family's 2925-position model. The record is from RNAcentral.